This 242-nucleotide ribosomal RNA is filed under the name uncultured Lactobacillus sp. RNAcentral describes it as "partial 16S ribosomal RNA". It matches the Rfam family "Bacterial small subunit ribosomal RNA", at positions 122 to 356 of the family's 1533-position model. The record is from RNAcentral. Lineage: Bacteria; Bacillati; Bacillota; Bacilli; Lactobacillales; Lactobacillaceae.
UAACCUGCCCAAGAGAUCGGGAUAACACCUGGAAACAGAUGCUAAUACCGGAUAACAACAGAUGAUGCCUAUCAACUGUUUAAAAGAUGGUUCUGCUAUCACUCUUGGAUGGACCUGCGGUGCAUUAGCUAGUUGGUAGGGUAACGGCCUACCAAGGCGAUGAUGCAUAGCCGAGUUGAGAGACUGAUCGGCCACAGUUGGGACUGAGCACGGCCCAAACUCCUACGGGGGAGGCAGCAGCG